RNAcentral lists this ribosomal RNA (253 nucleotides) under uncultured bacterium. RNAcentral's name for it is "partial 16S ribosomal RNA". It matches the Rfam family "Bacterial small subunit ribosomal RNA", at positions 524 to 776 of the family's 1533-position model. The record is from RNAcentral.
UACAGAGGUCUCGAGCGAUGCGCGGGUGCAUUGGGCUUACAGCGUGCGUCGGCGGCCCCGUAAGUGCCUUGUGAAAUCCCAUGGCUCAACCAUGGAAUGGCUCGGUAGACUGCGGGGCUUGAGGUCGGUAGGGGUCGCCGGACCGCUAGGUGGAGCGGUGAAAUGCGUAGAUAUCUAGAGGAACGCCAAAGGUGAAGACAGGCGACUGGGCCGAUUCUGACACUGAGGCACGAAAUCGUGGGGCGCAAACGGG